CCGCACAAGCGGAGGAGCAUGUGGUUUAAUUCGAUGAUACGCGAGGAACCUUACCUGGGCUCGAACGUAAGAUGACUGUAGGUGAAAGCUUACAUCUCUUCGGAGCUAUUUUACGAGGUGCUGCAUGGUUGUCGUCAGCUCGUGCCGUGAGGUGUCGGGUUAAGUCCCAUAACGAGCGCAACCCCUACCUUUAGUUGCCAUCAGGUAAUGCUGGGGACUCUAAAGGAACUGCCUACGCAAGUAGUGAGGAAGGCGGGGAUGACGUCAAAUCAGCACGGCCCUUACGUCCAGGGCUACACACGUGCUACAAUGGCCGAUACAGAGGGCAGCUACCUGGUGACAGGAUGCAAAUCUCCAAAGUCGGUCUCAGUUCGGAUCGGAGUCUGCAACCCGACUCCGUGAAGUUGGAUUCGCUAGUAAUCGCGCAUCAGCCAUGGCGCGGUGAAUACGUUCCCGGGCCUU
This 462-nucleotide ribosomal RNA is filed under the name uncultured Sphingobacteriales bacterium. RNAcentral describes it as "bacterial SSU rRNA". It matches the Rfam family "Bacterial small subunit ribosomal RNA", at positions 921 to 1382 of the family's 1533-position model. The record is from RNAcentral. Lineage: Bacteria; Pseudomonadati; Bacteroidota; Sphingobacteriia; Sphingobacteriales.